This 218-nucleotide long non-coding RNA is filed under the name Homo sapiens (human). RNAcentral describes it as "LHRI_LNC292.1". The record is from RNAcentral. Lineage: Eukaryota; Metazoa; Chordata; Mammalia; Primates; Hominidae.
CCUGGAACUUACCUUGUGAGCUUCUCUUUUCUCAGGCAUUGCAGUCUUGUGCUACCUCUUGUCUGUUGCCUGAAAAUGGCUACUUCAUGUAUUUGGCCUGUUGUAAUAGUCGUUUAUGGCAAGAGAGCUCAUCUGGCACCAGUUAUUCUGUUAUGACCCAAAGUGGAAAUCUCUCCCUGUGUCAUUUUGAGUUUCUGGAGGCCACAGUUUAUGGCCAG